CAAAGGCAAUUGCCACAAGAGGUCAACGCCAAGGCUGCUCUGCAGAUAUGACCAGGGCUCAUUUUUUCCAUGAUCUUAGAGAAACUGGAUAAGCCCGGGGCAAAUCGGGCCCAGAGAUGAGAUGGGUGAAGUACAGACAUGAAAGAAGCAAUGCCUGGGAAGGUACUCAAGAAAAAGCAUGAUGUGGUGGGGAAGGGCUGCAGCCCAGCCCUGUGCCUGCAUCCCACGCAUUUCUACUUGAUUCCUUAGCUCCCUAAACCUUGCUUGUCUCAUCUGUAAGGUGGAGAUAAAAAUAACAGUCUUCUUUUAUUAUGUGAGUUGCAAAUGACAGAGUGCAUGUGAAGGCUCCUGGUGCCAAAAAUGUUAGCAGAAUUGAGUGGAAGCAGAGUGAACACUCACUGAGGGCCGGGAGACUUAGGAGGGAGCUGGACCCCCCGGGAUGCUUUGCUGGAUGACCACAGCUUGGGGAGGGGGCUACUGCCUUUGGAGAAUGGCAACACUAUCAUGCAGCUCAGAAGGCUGGAGUCUAAUACCCUGCUCAGCAACCAGGCAUAGUCCAUUCCAUCACAGAGCCUGGGUUCACCUUGAGGACAGUGAGAACUCAGCCCUGGCCAUGUGGAAGUCAAAGCGUGCAGCACCUACGUACAUGGACCUCACCUGUCAUCCAAGUCUCCAAACCACACUGCAAUACAAACAUCGCCAAAGUAGCAGGCUUCUCUCCUCUGGGUGACAUCCACAGGGCAGAUCUGAGCAACACUUAGUGUCUCCUGGGACCUUCCCAGCCUCGGACAGAAUGGUUGUUAGAGGAACAAGGUAAUGGUGAUAUACGCGGGACCUGCCAGUUUGUUAGGCCGGUGGCUUUAAUGGCUAUUUUGGAGGUGACAUUCCAUUAGGGGUGAUUGGACUUAAUUUUAAUGGCAGGAUGACUUAAUGUGUCAUCAUUCUCUCCUAGGCCUGAAGGUCAAUGGGAAAAGUUUCUUUCCUCCAGGAAUUACACUACAAAAUUUCCAUAACACAGCGCCAAUUUUGGUCAUGCUAAAAUAUUGAGCUGUAAGAAGUACCCUUCUGCACAAACAAGCUGGAUUUUUGGGCCUCUUGGUCCAGUCACCCUGGAGUCAGAUAACUUAGGGUGAAAUGUUGACUUCGUCACUCCCUGGCUGUGUGGCCUUAGACAACAUACUUAACCUCUCUGUGCCUCAGUUUCCUCAUCUACAGAGCUGGGUAAUCAUAGUAUGCGCUUCCUAGGGUUGUUGUGAGGACUAAUUUGGUGUGUGUAAAACCUGGAAGGGCUGCUAAGGGCUGCUAUUAUUAGCUCUCUAGGGAAAGGACCAGCAUAAGCAGUAAUUUGCCAAACACAUUCAAAGGCACUUUUGAACAGAUGGUCAGGCUAGGGUGAGGGGUUGAGGGAGGAGCAGUGGGAGGUGCGUGUGGAACGGAGGGUUGGGGUGGAUGGCAGAGGCAUAGGAAUGCCAGGCCCGUGAGUUUAAAAGGCAUCUUGAAUGACAUCCCACCACCCAGAGCACUUCUGCGCGGUUCACAAGCGAGAAAGACAAUGAGAAAGUAGUAUUUUUGGAGGAUCUUUGCUGACAGCAGGAAUGAAAAGAAAUAAAUAUAUAUGAGAGCCAUUAUGAAGGGAACCCUGCAGGACCUCGCGGCUAAUUGGAUGUGGGGCUGAGGGAGCAGGAGGAGUCUAGGGUGACUUUGAGGUGUGGAGUGAGGUGACUCACAGAAGAUAGUGUCGUCGCUGGCACUAGAAAGCCACCAGAGGAGCUGGUUUGGAGGGAGGAGGAUGGAUUCAUUGGUUUUAGGCAUGUUGCACGGGAUACUGUAGCCAGGAGCCAGGGUCUGGCCCUCGGGAACUGGGUCAGGGUUGGGAUGGAGACUUGGCCAUCAUCUGCAGAGAUAAGCAGGGUUUCUCUGUCUUUGAGAGUGAGUAGAGUGAGGGGGAAGCAUAGAAAAUUGAGGACAGAUACAGGGAACACUGGCAGGGGCUAAAACUGACAAAGGAAGAGGAGAUCGCGAAGAAGGCAAAGAGAAGGCUGGAAGAGAGCAGUGCCUGGAGGAAGCAGGAACAGGUGUCUGUGGGCAUGACUCAGGGGAGGAAAGUUGUUAGAUGCUGCAGAGGCCAAGAGGGGCCACGCAGGUAGGAGCCGCUGGGAUCAGCCCUGGGUAGCCUGUGCAGAGGCAGCCUGGGUGGACCAUGGAGAUGUGAAUACCAGCUGGAAGGCAAGUCUGAGGUGCCUCAUACAAGUGGAAUCAUUCAGCAGUUGUCUUUUUGCAUAUUGCCUGUCCAAAACUUUUUGAAUGGAAAGAAGUAUGUUUUACAGAAACAGGAAAGUCCCAGCCUUGUCUCUGACUGCUUCACCCCUUGGUUCAGCCCAGUGAAAGCUGGUCAACUUUCCUUAAUGCUCUGAGAUCCGUAAUAGCACAACCAUUUUAGUAUCUUUCUCUGAAGACUGCAACACGCUGUCAUGAUAUUAGUCAACUCAAGUCAACUGACAUUAUUAUAGUGCUUAUGAGGCUGCUCCUGCCUGAAAGCCCUUCACUGCCUCCCUGGGGUGUGGGUGGAGGAUGAGAUAAGCAGCUCACAAGUGGGACAGAACCCUGGCUCUGCGGAAAGCCCAGCUGGCUGCCACGGGUGGCAUGUUUCUCGGGGCUUCCUGUGUGAGCGCAUAGACAGCCCUGCUAGUCCCUCAGCCCAGAUGCCUGCCAGAAACCCAAGCCCUGAGGAUGCCCCUCCAGAUGUGUGCUGUGAACUGAGCUUUCUGAAAUCCUUCUCCUGGGGCCAGACACUCAUCAAAGCGCCAACUCUAUCGCAGACUGCAUUUGAGUCACCUGUUAUGUUUGAGAUCCGCCCUGUGUUGGGAGCUGAAACCUGUUGGCUGGUCUUGCUGGGGUUAGGGAAGGGCCUGAAGUCUGGAAGAGGACUAGGUCAAGUUUCCUGCUGUACUUCUGAGGUCCUGGACGUGAAGCCGAAAUGCUGCAGCUCACAGCCAGUGUGGUCAGCCGAAUGGGAGUCAGCUCUGGGCGGCUUAUUGCCAUGAACAAAGGAGCUCAGUUGCUGGGGUUCACCUCCUAUCCCAUCAGAAUACAAGCUGCACUGGGGCUAGAUGUCCACGGCUGUAUCCUCAGCACCUAGAAGAGAGUCUGGGACCAAGUGUGAACAUCUAUAAACCGGAGGAAACAUCUGUUGGCAGGAUAUUUAGUAUAGCAAUAUCUUUGGAUAAAAUAAUCAACAAACAAAAUUAUGUUGUUGGAAACCAGAAAACGACACCACUGAUGAAUGUACUUAGGCUACUUAAUCAAGAAAUAGUCGCAAUGAUUCUACUUCUGUCUUCUUUUUUAAAAAAAAUUUAAUUAGUUGUUUUAUUUUAGAAUAGCAUUACUGAUUACCUUUCUUCCCUGGAAAUUAACACAUUUCGUAGAGACUUAAGGAUGCAUCAAUGAAAUACUUAGAAUUGAAAGAGGAAAUGAAUUACUUGAUUUCUCAGGAUGUGUGUGUCUAUUGGUGCUCUAGCACAGUUAAAUGCUAAUAUUGCCACUGAAAACUGAUGCAACUUUUGUGAAGCAACAG
Molecule: long non-coding RNA, 3574 nt
Filed under: Homo sapiens (human)
Lineage: Eukaryota; Metazoa; Chordata; Mammalia; Primates; Hominidae
Description: HSALNT0024309
Source: RNAcentral